Long non-coding RNA from Ostrinia nubilalis (European corn borer), 443 nucleotides. RefSeq lists it as uncharacterized. Lineage: Eukaryota; Metazoa; Arthropoda; Insecta; Lepidoptera; Crambidae. The record is from RefSeq and is a predicted model, not a curated record. The transcript is spliced from 2 exons.
AUUCGUGAACGUCGUGAGGCGCUGAAGCAUCAUUGUAACUCAUCGGCGAGUGACUCCGGAUCGACGCAAGAGCACCAGCAUAAACCGAAUCUUCCCAAGAUAUCGUUGCCCAAGUUCAGUGGAAGUUAUGGAGACUGGCUGUCGUUCAAGGAUUUAUACGUCACUAUGGUACACGGAAAUGAAGAUUUAAGUCCCGUGCAGAAGUUCUAUUACUUGAAGUCGUGUUUGGUCGGCGAAGCUGCCUCUUUGGUUACGACUUUGGAAUGUACGAACGAAAACUACGUGAAGGCAUGGUCUGCGAUUACAUCAAGAUAUGACAAUAAGCAGCGCUGCCAAGCAUUAGAUAUGCUAUGCCGUGAUGAAGCAGUGAGCACUACAAAGGUCGUGCCUCCGGCAAAGAGCACUAGUCAUGUGACUGUUGGCAGCGGCAGAAGUGCAAAUGG